CUAUACAUGCAAGUCGAGCGAAUGGAUUAAGAGCUUGCUCUUAUGAAGUUAGCGGCGGACGGGUGAGUAACACGUGGGUAACCUACCCAUAAGACUGGGAUAACUCCGGGAAACCGGGGCUAAUACCGGAUAAUAUUUUGAACUGCAUAGUUCGAAAUUGAAAGGCGGCUUCGGCUGUCACUUAUGGAUGGACCCGCGUCGCAUUAGCUAGUUGGUGAGGUAACGGCUCACCAAGGCGACGAUGCGUAGCCGACCUGAGAGGGUGAUCGGCCACACUGGGACUGAAACACGGCCCAAACUCCUACGGGAGGNAGCAUAAGGGAAUCUUCCGCAAUGGACAAAGAUCUGACGGAGCANCGCCGCGGAUGUAGGGCUAACUCCCGCAACGAGCGCAACCCUUGUUCUUAGUUGCCAUCGUUAAAGUGGGCAUUUUAAGGUGACCGCCGGUGACAAACCGGAGGAAGGGGGGGAUGACGUCAAAUCAUCAUGCCCCUUAUGACCUGGGCUACACACGUGCUACAAUGGACGGUACAAAGAGCUGCAAGACCGCGAGGUGGAGCUAAUCUCAUAAAACCGUUCUCAGUUCGGAUUGUAGGCUGCAACUCGCCUACAUGAAGCUGGAAUCGCUAGUAAUCGCGGAUCAGCAUGCCGCGGUGAAUACGUUCCCGGGCCUUGUACACACCGCCCGUCACACCACGAGAGUUUGUAACACCCGAAGUCGGUGGGGUAACCUUUAUGGAGCCAGCCGCCUAAAG
This 755-nucleotide ribosomal RNA is filed under the name bacterium DEN D1. RNAcentral's name for it is "partial 16S ribosomal RNA". It matches the Rfam family "Bacterial small subunit ribosomal RNA". The record is from RNAcentral.